Molecule: ribosomal RNA, 440 nt
Filed under: Weissella confusa
Lineage: Bacteria; Bacillati; Bacillota; Bacilli; Lactobacillales; Lactobacillaceae
Description: bacterial SSU rRNA
Rfam family: Bacterial small subunit ribosomal RNA
Source: RNAcentral
CCUACGGGCGGCUGCAGUGGGGAAUAUUGGACAAUGGGCGAAAGCCUGAUCCAGCAAUGCCGCGUGAGUGAUGAAGGCCUUAGGGUUGUAAAGCUCUUUUACCAGGGAUGAUAAUGACAGUACCUGGAGAAUAAGCUCCGGCUAACUCCGUGCCAGCAGCCGCGGUAAUACGGAGGGAGCUAGCGUUGUUCGGAAUUACUGGGCGUAAAGCGUGCGUAGGCGGCUAUUCAAGUCAGAGGUGAAAGCCUGGAGCUCAACUCCAGAACUGCCUUUGAAACUAGAUAGCUAGAAUCUUGGAGAGGUGAGUGGAAUUCCGAGUGUAGAGGUGAAAUUCGUAGAUAUUCGGAAGAACACCAGUGGCGAAGGCGACUCACUGGACAAGUAUUGACGCUGAGGUACGAAAGCGUGGGGAGCAAACAGGAUUAGAUACCCUAGUAGUC